UACGAAGGGUGCAGACGUUGCUCGGAAUUAUUGGGGCGUAAAGCGCACGUAGGCGGCUUUGCAAGUCCCAUGUGAAAUCCCACGGCUCAACCGUGGAAGUGCAUGGGAAACUGCAGAGCUUGAGUACUUAAGAGGAUCGCGGAAUUCCCGGUGUAGAGGUGAAAUUCGUAGAUAUCGGGGAGGAACACCAGUGGCGAAGGCGGCGAUCUGGGAAGAUACUGACGCUGAGGUGCGAAAGCGUGGGGAGCGAACAGG
This 255-nucleotide ribosomal RNA is filed under the name uncultured bacterium. RNAcentral's name for it is "partial 16S ribosomal RNA". It matches the Rfam family "Bacterial small subunit ribosomal RNA", at positions 524 to 776 of the family's 1533-position model. The record is from RNAcentral.